Molecule: ribosomal RNA, 492 nt
Filed under: uncultured bacterium
Lineage: Bacteria
Description: partial 16S ribosomal RNA
Rfam family: Bacterial small subunit ribosomal RNA
Source: RNAcentral
AGUGAACGCUGGCGGUAGGCCUAACACAUGCAAGUCGAACGGCAGCACAGUAAGAGCUUGCUCUUACGGGUGGCGAGUGGCGGACGGGUGAGGAAUACAUCGGAAUCUACUUUUUCGUGGGGGAUAACGUAGGGAAACUUACGCUAAUACAGCAUACGACCUACGGGUGAAAGCAGGGGAUCUUCGGACCUUGCGCGAUUGAAUGAGCCGAUGUGGGAUUAGCUAGUUGGCGGGGUAAAGGCCCACCAAGGGGACGAUCGGUAGCUGGUCUGAGAGGAUGAUCGGCCACACUGGAACUUGGAUACGGUCCAGACUCCUACGGGAGGCAGCAGUGGGGAAUAUUGGGCAAUGGGCGCAAGCCUGGUCCAGCCAUACCGCGUGGGUGAAGAAGGCCUUCGGGUUGUAAAGCCCUUUUGUUGGGAAAGAAAAGCAGCAGGUUAAUACCCCGCUGUUCUGACGGUACCCAAAGGAUAAGCACCGGCUAACUUCGUG